CCUAGGCAGCAGUGAGGAAUAUUGGUCAAUGGUCGGGAGACUGAACCAGCCAAGCCGCGUGAGGGAGGAAGGUACAGCGUAUCGUAAACCUCUUUUGUCAGGGAACAAAGACUGGGACGCGUCCCCGGAUGAGUGUACCUGAAGAUAAAGCAUCGGAUAACUCCGUGCCAGCAGCCGCGGUAAUAGGGGGGAUGCGAGCGUUAUCCGGAUUUAUGGGGUUAAAAGGGUGCGCAGGGGGUCGUUAAAGUAAGGGGGAAAGGCCCGGGCCUCAACCCGGGCCAGCCGUUGAAACUGGCAGUCUCGAGUUGGGGAGAGGUAUGCGGAAUGCGCGGUGUAGCGGUGAAAUGCAUAGAGAUCGCGCAGAACUCCGAUUGCGAAGGCAGCAUGCCGGCUCCACACUGACGCUGAGGCACGAAAGCGUGGGUAUCGAACAGGAUUAGAUACCCUUGUAGUC
RNAcentral lists this ribosomal RNA (454 nucleotides) under uncultured bacterium. RNAcentral's name for it is "partial 16S ribosomal RNA". It matches the Rfam family "Bacterial small subunit ribosomal RNA", at positions 343 to 795 of the family's 1533-position model. The record is from RNAcentral.